This 90-nucleotide transfer RNA is filed under the name Pseudomonas syringae pv. theae ICMP 3923. RNAcentral's name for it is "tRNA-OTHER". The record is from RNAcentral. Lineage: Bacteria; Pseudomonadati; Pseudomonadota; Gammaproteobacteria; Pseudomonadales; Pseudomonadaceae.
CUGCCCAGAUGGUGAAAUUGGUAGACACGCCAGCUUCAGGUGCUGGUGACCGCAAGGUCGUGGAAGUUCGANUAUCAAUUGAGCAAACCA